AUAAAAGCGUUGAAAAAGAGGAGUAGGAUUUGAAAGUAUUAAGAGAGGAAGGCUCUACGGCUGAAAGGUCUUCUAUAUGGAACAAUCUGAAGGUAGCUUUGGAGCUUCUUUAUCGAAAAUGUUUUUAGUAGAUAAAGCCGGUUGUCAAAUCGUUAGUUUAUAUGAGCCUGUAAUUUUGCAGGGAAAAAAGGUGGUACCACGAGCUUUUCGUCCUUUUG
This 218-nucleotide non-coding RNA is filed under the name Clostridium argentinense. RNAcentral describes it as "T-box sequence". It matches the Rfam family "T-box leader". Rfam says of the family: Uncharged tRNA acts as the effector for transcription antitermination of genes in the T-box leader family. T-boxes are found upstream of many aminoacyl-tRNA synthetase genes and some amino acid biosynthetic genes usually in Gram-positive bacteria. The anticodon of a specific tRNA base pairs to a specifier sequence within the T-box motif, and the NCCA acceptor tail of the tRNA base pairs to a conserved bulge in the T-box antiterminator hairpin. The record is from RNAcentral. Lineage: Bacteria; Bacillati; Bacillota; Clostridia; Eubacteriales; Clostridiaceae.